Molecule: ribosomal RNA, 439 nt
Filed under: uncultured bacterium
Lineage: Bacteria
Description: partial 16S ribosomal RNA
Rfam family: Bacterial small subunit ribosomal RNA
Source: RNAcentral
CUACGGGGGGCAGCAGUGGGGAAUAUUGCACAAUGGGGGAAACCCUGAUGCAGCAACGCCGCGUGGAGGAUGACGCAUUUCGGUGUGUAAACUCCUUUUAUAUAGGAAGAUAAUGACGGUACUAUAUGAAUAAGCACCGGCUAACUCCGUGCCAGCAGCCGCGGUAAUACGGAGGGUGCAAGCGUUACUCGGAAUCACUGGGCGUAAAGCGCGCGCAGGCGGCCUUUUAAGUUGGAUGUGAAAGCCUAUGGCUUAACCAUAGAACUGCAUCCAAAACUAUCAGGCUAGAGUCCGGGAGGGGAAGAUGGAAUUAGUUGUGUAGGGGUAAAAUCCGUAGAGAUAACUAGGAAUACCAAAAGCGAAGGCGAUCUUCUGGAACAGUACUGACGCUGAGGCGCGAAAGCGUGGGGAGCAAACAGGAUUAGAUACCCCAGUAGUC